This 367-nucleotide ribosomal RNA is filed under the name uncultured bacterium. Its description in RNAcentral is "partial 16S ribosomal RNA". It matches the Rfam family "Bacterial small subunit ribosomal RNA", at positions 338 to 722 of the family's 1533-position model. The record is from RNAcentral.
CCUACGGGAGGCAGCAGUAAGGGAUAUUGGUCAAUGGGGGAAACCCUGAACCAGCAACGCAGCGUGAGGGAAGACGGUUUUCGGAUUGUAAACCUCUGUCUUCUGUGAAGAUGAUGACGGUAGCUGAGGAGGAAGCUCCGGCUAACUACGUGCCAACAGCCGCGGUAAUACGUAGGGAGCGAGCGUUGUCCGGAUUUACUGGGUGUAAAGGGAGCGUAGGCGGCUUGGCAAGUCAGUAGUGAAAUUCAUGGGCUUAACCGAUGAAUUGCUAUUGAAACUGUAGGGCUUGAGUGAAGUAGGGGAAGGCGGAAUUCACGGUGUAGCGGUGAAAUGCGUAGAGAUCGGGAGGAACUCCAGUGGCGAAGGC